CACGGAGUUAGCCGAUCCUUAUUCCCUCGGUACAUUCAGCUAAAUACACGUAUCUAGGUUUAUUCCCGAGUAAAAGCAGUUUACAACCCAUAGGGCAGUCUUCCUGCACGCGGCAUGGCUGGUUCAGAGUUGCCUCCAUUGACCAAUAUUCCUUACUGCUGCCUCCCGUAGGAGUCUGGUCCGUGUCUCAGUACCAGUGUGGGGGGCCAUCCUCUCAGAUCCCCUAGUCAUCGUCGCCUUGGUGGGCCGUUACCCCGCAACUAGCUAAUGACACGCAUGCCCAUCUUCAUCCCAUAAAUGUUUGAUCAUUGUACUAUGCAGUACUGUGAUUUUAUGCGGUAUUAAUCCGGAUUUCUCCGGGCUAUCCCCCAGAUAAAGGUAGGUUGCAUACGCGUUACGCACCCGUGCGCCGGUCUCUAGAAGAGCAAGCUCCUCUAUACCCCUCGACUUGCAUGUAUUAGGCCUGCCGCUAGCGUUCAUCCUGAGCCAGGUA
RNAcentral lists this ribosomal RNA (493 nucleotides) under uncultured Pedobacter sp. Its description in RNAcentral is "partial 16S ribosomal RNA". The record is from RNAcentral. Lineage: Bacteria; Pseudomonadati; Bacteroidota; Sphingobacteriia; Sphingobacteriales; Sphingobacteriaceae.